RNAcentral lists this ribosomal RNA (164 nucleotides) under Raphia farinifera. Its description in RNAcentral is "5.8S ribosomal RNA". It matches the Rfam family "5.8S ribosomal RNA". Rfam says of the family: 5.8S ribosomal RNA (5.8S rRNA) is a component of the large subunit of the eukaryotic ribosome. It is transcribed by RNA polymerase I as part of the 45S precursor that also contains 18S and 28S rRNA. Functionally, it is thought that 5.8S rRNA may be involved in ribosome translocation. Lineage: Eukaryota; Viridiplantae; Streptophyta; Magnoliopsida; Arecales; Arecaceae. The record is from RNAcentral.
GGCAUGACUCUCGGCAAUGGAUAUCUUGGCUCUUGCAUCGAUGAAGAAUGUAGCAAAAUGUGAUACAUGGUCUGAAUUGUAGAAUCCCAUGAUCCAUCAAGUCUUUGAAUGCAAGUUGCACCUGAGGCCAUCCGACUGAGGGCAUGCCUACCUGGGCGUCAUGC